ACAUGAAAGAAAAUUCAUCGUGGCGCCACGGACAAUUUCUGUGAAACCAGCGUGGCAUUCAACGUGUUAAUUACGAUCUACAGGUGAAAGGUUGCGUUCAGUGAAUUCGACCUUCCCGAUAGGAACGAACGACAAAUUUUGUACGAACGCGAGCUCAACAAUUAAAUCCGUACGCACUCGAACGUUUCAGAACUGUUCAUUUCCCUUUUUCUGAAUCCUAACAACGGGGUUUAGCUUUUCUCGUAUUCAUGAAUCUUUCUGUGCAAUAGUUACCUGUUCCUUCGAGUCGAUGAUUUUCUCGAGAAUUUCUCUGCAUUUUCCCUCCGAAGCAUUCGCACUUCCGCGUUCGACAAGCGACUUGAACAGCUCAUGAAAACGGUGGGAGUACCACGAGUGCCGAUUGGUUCGAUUUUACCGACGGUAGACCCAAGCCAAUCACGUUCGCGUGCCCUGCUAGAGCUGCACUCGAGCGCCGCCAAGCGGCGACGAUCGUUGCAUUUACGGAAGUUUGAACGAAAGAGAGCUCCCGUACGUUUUUCUCAAAUUACGAUUAAUUAACAGUGUUACGGUGUUAAUUGCAAGUGAUCUUAAUUCGUGUUGCUGGAUUCAGAGACUGGUUUCCGUCGUAAUCGAACAUCUGGCGAUAAUUAUCAUGGCGCGACACAAACACACAAACCUUGUUAAGACCAUCGUUGCAACGUUUCCGAUCGAUAUCCGGAAUGACGAAAACUCACCCUAGAAGCUGAACAUAAAAUCAAUGAGGAUCAUCUCAACGGGUAUACAACUUGUUUUCGGCUAUUUAAAGGAGGGCGGCCUUGAGUCUUGGUCGCAAGGUCAAAGAGGCUCGAACGAAACGGCUCCGCCCUGUGCUAAUGGCGGACUCUCUCGAGCAGGAACUUUGAUAUUUACCGGCGGAGCAGCGGCGGAACGAUCGCGCACCGAUUGUCCGUGAAAUUGACGGCACUUUCGACGGGAAAUGACGAGAUAAAUGCCGGCCCCGUAAUCGCCGGCGCCCAUCAUCCACCUGCUGGAAACCUUCGGACCGAAUGUUACCCAGAGCCGAAGCAUUCUAAUGCGGUGGAUCGCAAUUUCCCAGGGCGAAACCGAGUUACGUAGACCUCUCGGGGAUCUAUCCUCCUCUUUCGUUCCCGAUCGACGGAACACCGGUUCGAGGGAGAAAGAUAAACACAGCGAAGGGUGUGAGAGACGAGCCCACGGUACACCCACGGAAUAGUCCUCCGGAUCGAUCCGCAUCCGGUCGUCUUCGUCUUUUCCAUUGAUGUCCUCUCGCUCUCUCUGCACCGAGCAAUCUAUAUUCUCUUGCCCGCCCACGCGAUCUGCCCCUUUAUCACGGUCCUCUUGCUUGAUCAGACCACCCCCGCCCUCGGCUUCUUCCAUGGAUCCCCUCGCCCUUCUCUUGCUCCUUUUUCCCCCGAAGGCUUUUCGUCCGGGUUUCGUUCCCGUCGCUCUUUAUUCAUCUUUUCAGCCGGCCCGAGUUGCGACCGGGCUUUGCCCGAUUUUACCCCUUGUAUCAAUAAUUGCGCACCCUUUUCAACAUUCUAUUCAAUUAUUUUUUGUCCCCGGUAAAAUGCUUCAAUGUCCGGCCAGUGUGUCGUUGUUCGGCACAUUUCCAAUCGAUAUCUGUUUCGAGCCUGCAAUUUUGUUAUCGGAAAAGUACUAAAACUGGACGAUAAAUUGGAAUUACCUUUGUUGGAUAACGGAGUACCCUUGCUGGAGAAAGAGAUAAGGAGUGUAGGAGAAAGUAGAAAUUCUCCAGGCGAUUAAGAACUGUAAUAUAUUUUGCUGCGAUAACAAAUAUAAAAUCGAUAAAAAUGAAUGUUUGAGAAAUGGAAUUAUGUGAAAGGUGUAUAAAACAGUAACGUAAUAUAGCAACUGAUCGUAGGGAUACCCGGGAUAUAUUUUAUAAAAUAUGUAGAUAUUUGUAUAGAUAUUUAUAUAGAUUAUAAAACAACGCCGAAAAUUUUGGUUACUGACAUAAGGCUUAAUAAGCUUAUCUUUUUAAAACGAGCUUCUGCGGGGCACGCGAUAUAGAUUGAGAAAGUUUCCGUGAAACUUGCGUAGCCUAAUUCGAAUCUACGAGCAGCCGAUUGCUAGCAGAUAUCUGUAGUCACGACCUCCUCGAGUUUGAUGGGAAUAUUGGGGCAGAGAGUUCCCUUGCAUAAUUAGGUUUUGUGCACCCAAGGCUUUGAUUUUACGUGUCCAAGCUUGGCGCAAGUACAAACUUACGUCGAUAUCAGCUGUGGCACGAGUUUGGUACAUAUUUAAUCUUGGACACCAUCUAGACACCACGUGCCGACUCAAAGGGUGAUCCCUCGUUUACAGAUUCGCCGAGAUAGGUUCUACAACUGAUACUGACCUCAAUAUUUCACUCCAUCGCCCUUCUCUUGCUCCGUUUUUCACGUAGGCUUUUCUUCCGGGUUUCGUUCCUGCCGCUCUUUAUUCACCUUUUCAGUCGGCCCGGAUUGCGACUCGGGAUUUGCCAAUUUUAAUCAAGCUUAUCUUUUUAAGGCGAGCUUUUGCGAGGGACGCGAUCGAUUGGGAUAGUUCGCGUGAUACUUGUACAGUCUAAUUUCGAAUUAGACGUAUGAACAGCCAAUCGAUGUUCUUCCGCCCUUAGAUAAAAUAUCUUAUCUACUAAUUUGCCAUUUUUCAGGAUUUUUGAAAAUAUAAAAGUAUAUUCUACAUACUCCAUACAGUUCCAAAUGUAAUUCCAUGUAUUUAUUUUCACUUAUAUAAAAAGGAUUUUAUUAAUUCAAAGCUUUAAUUAUUGGACGAUCAGAAACGUUAAUCAGGACAAUUUAACUAAGGAAAGCAGUGUAAACGAAAUCUCGAUCUCCUGGAGUCGUAAAGGAAAAUUGAAGGUAAAGGAUUCUCUCUUGCAAAACUAGGUUCGUCGGGGGUUUUGUGUAAACUCGAGAAGGCUUUGAUUUUGCACGUUUAAGUCUUAGCAUAUGUUUAAGCUUCCAUCGAUGUAGUUUCGCAGGUGCGGCACGAGCUCGGCAUAUAUUUAAUUUUGGUCACCUUUCUUGGCGCCACGUGCUGGGUCAAAGGGUGAUCCCUCGCUUAUAGAUCCACCAAAAUAGGUUCUACAACUGAUACCAACCUGAAUGUAUAAUCCUCCUGUACACGGGUCAAUAAAACACCCCGCAAUAGCCA
This is a non-coding RNA of Megalopta genalis, 3177 nucleotides long. NCBI's taxonomy places the organism in Eukaryota, Metazoa, Arthropoda, Insecta, Hymenoptera, Halictidae. The record is from RefSeq and is a predicted model, not a curated record.